UACGGAGGAUGCAAGCGUUAUCCGGAAUGAUUGGGCGUAAAGCGUCCGCAGGUGGCUGUGUAAGUCUGCUGUCAAAGAGCGAAGCUCAACUUCGUAAAGGCGGUGGAAACUGAAGCGCUAGAGUGCGGUAGGGGUAGAGGGAAUUCCCGGUGUAGCGGUGAAAUGCGUAGAGAUCGGGAAGAACAUCGGUGGCGAAAGCGCCCUACUGGACCGCAACUGACACUCAGGGACGAAAGCUAGGGGAGCGAAUGGG
RNAcentral lists this ribosomal RNA (253 nucleotides) under uncultured bacterium. RNAcentral describes it as "partial 16S ribosomal RNA". It matches the Rfam family "Bacterial small subunit ribosomal RNA", at positions 524 to 776 of the family's 1533-position model. The record is from RNAcentral.